RNAcentral lists this microRNA precursor (67 nucleotides) under Bombyx mori (domestic silkworm). RNAcentral's name for it is "mir-2774 microRNA precursor family". It matches the Rfam family "mir-2774 microRNA precursor family". Lineage: Eukaryota; Metazoa; Arthropoda; Insecta; Lepidoptera; Bombycidae. The record is from Rfam by way of RNAcentral.
ACAACAUUUGGACCACGGGUAUACGGAGCAAUUACAUCCGCUCGGUGGAAGAUCUUCCCUUUGUCAU